UGGGGAAUUUUACGCAAUGGGCGAAAGCCUGACGUAGCGACACCGCGUGAGCGACGAAGCCCUUUGGGGUGUAAAGCUCUGUCGGCUGGAACGAAAAAAAUGACGGUACCAGCAAAGGAAGCAUCGGCUAACUACGUGCCAGCAGCCGCGGUAAGACGUAGGAUGCAAGCAUUGUCCGGAUUUAUUGGGCGUAAAGAGUUCGUAGGUGGUUUGUUAAGUCUGAUGUUAAAGACCGGAGCUCAACUUCGGAACUGCAUUGGAUACUGGCAGACUAGAGUAUGGUAGAGGCAAGCGGAAUUCCCAGUGUAGCGGUGAAAUGCGUAGAUAUUGGGAAGAACACCGGUGGCGUAAGCGGCUUGCUGGGCCAUAACUGACACUGAGGAACGAAAGCCAGGGGAGC
Molecule: ribosomal RNA, 400 nt
Filed under: uncultured bacterium
Lineage: Bacteria
Description: bacterial SSU rRNA
Rfam family: Bacterial small subunit ribosomal RNA
Source: RNAcentral